CGGUCAGAUUGAACGCUGGCGGCAGGCCUAACACAUGCAAGUCGAACGGUAGCACAGGGAGCUUGCUCUCGGGUGACGAGUGGCGGACGGGUGAGUAAUGUCUGGGAAACUGCCCGAUGGAGGGGGAUAACUACUGGAAACGGUAGCUAAUACCGCAUAACGUCGCAAGACCAAAGUGGGGGACCUUCGGGCCUCACACCAUCGGAUGUGCCCAGAUGGGAUUAGCUAGUAGGUGGGGUAAUGGCUCACCUAGGCGACGAUCCCUAGCUGGUCUGAGAGGAUGACCAGCCACACUGGAACUGAGACACGGUCCAGACUCCUACGGGAGGCAGCAGUGGGGAAUAUUGCACCAUGGGCGCAAGCCUGAUGCAGCCAUGCCGCGUGUA
This 386-nucleotide ribosomal RNA is filed under the name Enterobacteriaceae bacterium AE_03. RNAcentral's name for it is "bacterial SSU rRNA". It matches the Rfam family "Bacterial small subunit ribosomal RNA", at positions 21 to 405 of the family's 1533-position model. Lineage: Bacteria; Pseudomonadati; Pseudomonadota; Gammaproteobacteria; Enterobacterales; Enterobacteriaceae. The record is from RNAcentral.